This 489-nucleotide ribosomal RNA is filed under the name uncultured bacterium. RNAcentral's name for it is "partial 16S ribosomal RNA". It matches the Rfam family "Bacterial small subunit ribosomal RNA", at positions 29 to 507 of the family's 1533-position model. The record is from RNAcentral.
AGUGAACGCUGGCGGUAGGCCUAACACAUGCAAGUCGAACGGCAGCACAGGAGAGCUUGCUCUCUGGGUGGCGAGUGGCGGACGGGUGAGGAAUACAUCGGAAUCUGCCCAGUCGUGGGGGAUAACGUAGGGAAACUUACGCUAAUACCGCAUACGACCUUCGGGUGAAAGAGGGGGAUCGCAAGACCUCUCGCGAUUGGAUGAGCCGAUGUCGGAUUAGCUAGUUGGCGGGGUAAUGGCCCACCAAGGCGACGAUCCGUAGCUGGUCUGAGAGGAUGAUCAGCCACACUGGAACUGAGACACGGUCCAGACUCCUACGGGAGGCAGCAGUGGGGAAUAUUGGACAAUGGGCGCAAGCCUGAUCCAGCCAUACCGCGUGGGUGAAGAAGGCCUUCGGGUUGUAAAGCCCUUUUGUUGGGAAAGAAAUCUUCAGGCUAAUACCCUGGGAGGAUGACGGUACCCAAAGAAUAAGCACCGGCUAACUUCGUG